GUGCUCCCUCUUGAAGCCCACACACUACAAUUGGGUAGACACAGAGAAGACUGUCAUGUUCUCUGCUCAAGGGUGACACAUAAAUUCAUGAAAAAUAUAAUUAU
Heterocephalus glaber (naked mole-rat) is the source of this 104-nucleotide small nuclear RNA. Lineage: Eukaryota; Metazoa; Chordata; Mammalia; Rodentia; Bathyergidae. The record is from Ensembl.